This 229-nucleotide unclassified non-coding RNA is filed under the name fungal sp. RNAcentral describes it as "partial internal transcribed spacer region". The stretch from base 1 to 46 matches the Rfam family "Eukaryotic small subunit ribosomal RNA", at positions 1786 to 1831 of the family's 1831-position model. The record is from RNAcentral. Lineage: Eukaryota; Fungi.
AAGUCGUAACAAGGUUUCCGUAGGUGAACCUGCGGAAGGAUCAUUAACAAACCGACUGGGAUGGCACGCUAGUAGUAUGGCUAUUAGUAGUGUCAAGCCCACAUUGACUCGGGGGCAUGGUCUAGUAAAGUGGAUCAAGUCCCUAGAGACAUUUACGCUUGUUGUGUAUGACUGAGUUAUAAUGUGGCCUAAUAAAGACAACUUUUAACAAUGGAUCUCUUGGCUCUUG